Molecule: ribosomal RNA, 256 nt
Filed under: uncultured bacterium
Lineage: Bacteria
Description: partial 16S ribosomal RNA
Rfam family: Bacterial small subunit ribosomal RNA
Source: RNAcentral
UACAGAGGUCUCGAGCGUUAGGCGGAAUCACUGGGCUUAAAGCGUGUGUAGGCGGACUGGUAAGUACCUUGUGAAAUCCCACGGCUCAACCGUGGAACUGCUUGGUAUACUGCUUGUCUUGUGCAACCUAGGGGCGGAGCGGAACAGAUGGUGGAGCGGUGAAAUGCGUAGAUAUCAUCUGGAACGCCAAUGGUGAAAAACAGCUCGCUGGGGGUUUGCAGACGCUGAGACACGAAAGCCAGGGGAGCAAACGGGG